CUGACCUCGGAUCAGACGUGAAUACCCGCUGAACUUAAGCAUAUCACUAAGCGGAGGAAAAGAAACUAACCAGGAUUCCCUCAGUAACUGCGAGUGAAGAGGGAUGAGCCCAGCACCGAAGCCUGCGGUCGUUUGACUGCUAGGCAAUGUGGUGUUCAGGUCGUCUUUUGGCAUUACUGCUCCAUCCUAAGUCCAGCACUGAGUAUGGCAACUGGAAUGGCCCAAGGAGGGUGAAAGGCCCGUGGGGGUGGAGAUCAAGUCGGACGGUAUUGCCCUUAGUCGACCUUGGAGUCGGGUUGUUUGUGAAUGCAGCCCAAAGCGGGUGGUAAACUCCAUCCAAGGCUAAAUACUAGCACGAGUCCGAUAGCGAACAAGUACCGUGAGGGAAAGUUGAAAAGUACUUUGAAGAGAGAGUAAACAGUGCGUGAAACCGCUCAGAGGUAAACGGGUGGAGUUGAACUGUAAGCUCCGGGAAUUCAGCUGGUGAGUGUGUCAUGGGCUUGGUCAUUUUCGGCCGGCCUCUGGAGUCCGCUUAGCUGCGGGUCCUUGCUUCUUCGGGAGUAGGGAUGUGCGUUGCGCUUGUCAAGUGCUGUGCGCUCUGGAGGUUGCCGGGCUGGCUCGCCGGUGCACUUUCUCGGAGUGGUCACCACGACCGGCGUUGUUGUCUUGCUGCUGUGGUCGAACCGGCUGGGUUUGGUCCUUGUGGCUGAACUUGGUCGGGAUGGCAGGUAGCUCAUUGGUUGGCUUGUCCAGUCUUUGGGUGUAAUCAGCUGUCUGCAGUGGUAUUGUGCAAUGCGUCGGAGACUGCGGCUUUAGGUAUUUGCUUUCGUGCCGUUGGCUGGCAGUGUUGGGUUUGACUGGCGUGUUACCUGCUUCGGUGGGUCCGUCGGUAGCUCAGUGCUGUUCGGUUAGCGGUUGCUUAAGUGAUAUCGUACAUGGGCCCAUAGUCUGUGGUGUAGCAGCAAACGAUCCACCUGACCCGUCUUGAAACACGGACCAAGGAGUUUAACAUGUGCGCGAGUCAUUGGGCGUUACGAAACCCAAAGGCGCAGUGAAAGUAAAGGUUCGGCUUGUCCGAGCUGAGGUGAGAUCCUGUAGCUUCUCGUGCGAGGUACCACCAAGCAGUGAGCUAUGGGCGCAUCACCAGCCCGUCUCAUGGUGUGGUCAUGUAGCCUUGUGUUGCGUGCAUCACCGGGGCGGAGCCUGAGCGCACACGUUGAGACCCGAAAGAUGGUGAACUAUGCUUGCGCAGGUUGAAGCCAGAGGAAACUCUGGUGGAGGACCGCAGCGAUUCUGACGUGCAAAUCGAUCGUCUAACGUGAGUAUAGGGGCGAAAGACUAAUCGAACCAUCUAGUAGCUGG
This 1362-nucleotide ribosomal RNA is filed under the name Pseudodiplodiscus cornu. RNAcentral's name for it is "partial 28S ribosomal RNA". It matches the Rfam family "Eukaryotic large subunit ribosomal RNA", at positions 1 to 954 of the family's 3401-position model. Lineage: Eukaryota; Metazoa; Platyhelminthes; Trematoda; Plagiorchiida; Diplodiscidae. The record is from RNAcentral.